Molecule: long non-coding RNA, 3922 nt
Organism: Triticum aestivum (bread wheat)
Lineage: Eukaryota; Viridiplantae; Streptophyta; Magnoliopsida; Poales; Poaceae
Exons: 5
Source: RefSeq, a predicted model, not a curated record
CCUAGAACUCCCGGAGUAGACGCCGCCGCCCGCCCCUUCCAGCCCCCGCCCUCCAGCCCCAACCCCAUGGAGAUCGAGAUCAAGCUCCGGCUCCCGACGUGGCCGCACACUGGCGCCUCUCCUCCUUCCUCGCGCCCCGCCUGCUCCGCACCGACGCCCCCGCGUGGCCCACGCCGCCGCCGUCCUGCGAUCCAAGUUCCAACUGACACAGCCGGAUCUCGUGCGAUCUCACAGCUGCCACCGCCGCCGCCGAACUCACAGUCGGAUUUCGUGCAAUCUCACAGCCGCCGCCGCCGAACUCACAGUCGGAUGUCGUGCAAUCUCACAGCCGCCGCCGCCGAACUCACAGCUGGAUCUCGUGCGAUCUCGCUGCCUCCAACGUACGGAAGUCUUCACUGUAUGGGAUCGCCGCCACGGUACUGGAUCGCCGCCGCGGACGUAAGAGGCUGAAGCGCGGCGGGUGGGACAGGGUGUGCGUCGCGUUGCUGGAGAACUUCCUCGAACGAACGCUGUGGUGGUGCCAUUGUCCAUUGAUCUGGACGUCGGUAGAAAAAUUGAGGGAAAUCAAAGUCAGAAGAAUUGAAAAUACUAUGCACUGUGUCUACAAAAAGUCCAAGCUGCCUAUUCCUACAUAAGGAUAAGGAUCCACGAGUGGGUAUUACUUUCACAAUGUUUGUUAGAAUCAUUCUUUAUACGAACUUGGUUGUACUUUCAGCCACAGAGAUGCAAAUUUCAUGGGCUAAUGCAUGAUGUGAUAGCAUAACAGAAUCUGGAGGACCUCCAGACUUGGCUCUUUGCUGGGGCAAAGGGUGUGAAGCGGUUUGCCGCAGAUUCAGAGGCCAUUUGGUUCAUCCAUAAUCUUCAAUGCAUCCCUAUCCUGAUGCUUCUAAUUUUCACUGCCCUCGGGUUUUGGAGCAUUGUGUAACUUUAUUUGGUUCAUUGCAGGUGCAGGGAACCUAUUGGAUUUACAUCUUCUACUCUCUUGACAAAGCAGUGUUCGAGGGUGUGCCUACGUGAAACACAUGGUCUCCAUCACCCUUUCCUUCUAGAGCCGGUACCAGGUGUGUGCAAUUUGAUGAAAUACAGAUGUCUGGUGUUUCAAUCAGUAUGUCGCAUAGUUUUUUCAUAUGUGCUUUGCUGUGAAAAAUCAACGCAUCAUUUAAUUUAUUUCUCAGUUUACAUCAGCAAAUGACCCUCUACUUGGCGUCAAAUAAUGAAUGCACGUGAUCUAGGACUAUUUGCUUUGGUGCUUAAUGGAUCGCAUCAUGCAUCCUAUUUAAACUGCAAUGCUUUACAUCUAAUGUUAUUUUUUGAGUCAUGGAACAGUGGCGGUCGAUCACAUUCUUGGCCCCGUUUGAAGGAACGACGAUUUUCAGGAUUGACGUGGAUUGAUUUUCUUGAACAUGAAGGUGUCAUUUUCAUUGCCAUUGAACACUAUAGACAAUUAGUUCAGAGGUUUCCUCUCAUAUUUAUUUUCUCGUUACUAAUUUCCUCUGCUCAUUACUAAUUUUUGCCUACAACGUGUUGUUUCCUGCCUUUUUCUGCUGGUAUGGUUAGACAUUUGCUUGCUUAAUCUAUCAUGCGAGUUUGUGCAAUGGGUAGUGAGCUUGCAUAUUUCCAUUUUAUUUAUCUUCUCAUGUUGGCAUGUAAUUGGCUUGGUCAUUUAAGAUGGUAAGAGAAGAUUGCGAAGCUAUUGUUCCAGCACUUGCAAAUAUUCCUCGUGUUCAUUCGUGAGUAGAGUAAGAACAAUAUGUGUGUUUUCUGGAAGCUAUGGUGGUGGUAGCUUCCAUAUAAAUGGAAUGGGACGGAGUCGGAAGCUGAGCGUGGGUUCAAUGAAGAAAAUGGCAGGGAGAGAAGAAUAUAAUUUGUGUGAUUAUGUUAACAUGGCUUUCUCUCUCUACGUACAUAUCUCUUUUCUGUAGGAGGCUUGUGAUGGCACACAACAAUGGAGAGGAGAUAAAAUAGGAGGAUGUCUGAGGAGCAUGGCAAGACAAAACAAAGAAUGAAGAAUGCGUUUCCAUUUCAUGAUCAUCAAACACAACUAAGCUUAUUUUUUGUAUGUCAACUGUCGGAGCUAAGAUGGAGCCUAUGGGUGUGGUGAAGCAGUGUCGCCUAGAAUGUGGAUGGAGUGCCCAUUGCACUGGCAUGAAUUAUGUGUUGCCAAGCGGUGUCUAGAAAAUUAAUUUUGAAAUUUUAGAAAUAAGAUCUACACGCAGUGAUAAUAGGGUGGGGAUUUUUAGAACCUAAUAAAGUGCUGCGGAGAGAAAUGGAGGAUGUGUUUAGUUUAGUGGAUAGCCACCCAAUGGACAGGGAUAGCCAGUUUUAGAGGGUAUACCGGUGCUUGCAUUUGUAGUAUCCAGACAAAUAUGGUAUGCAAUGAUGAAAUCCUGACGAUCUACACCCACAUCACUGUAUUUUGUUCACUUGCUUGCUUUCCUUGCUAUUAUUGAUGGAGCAGCAGAAGAGGCUUUUAGUGUUGUAAUAUAUGCCCGACCGACUUAUAAAUUCAAUAGCUCAAGAAAACUUUCAAAAAAUUACUUUGAUUGGGUAAAGUAUGCACAUGUAUAUAACAUGUUAUCUUUUUUCCUUCAGUUAACUACAUGUGAAGCUGAAGCUAAGCCAAUGUGCUUUUCCAGAAGAAGGCCAAGGCACAUCAAUCCAACACCAACCCACCUGCUAUGGAACUAAGGGAGGAAGGAAAAAGAACAUUGCCCCUGAGGGCUCGAGACGCACAAACAGGAAGCUGAGUUCGGGAAAGGUGGUUGUCUCCUUGACGCACACCAUAGUGCCCAUCUUUUCUAUUCUAAUGUCUUGCUCCUUGGACAGACACCUUGUGCUUUGUGCAGACCAUCAAUGCCUUUUCCUCCUGUUCGGCCAGGAGAUGAAUGCUUUCUAAACAUUGGUAAUAACAAUGAGAUCAGAGAGUACUGCUCUAUUCAUUGCUCUUCUAAAUCUUGUGAGUGCAAGGUAUGUAGGGAUCCAAGGAUAUUUAUUGAGACCACUUCUCCCUUUUGACGAGCAAGCACUGUUUUAUAGGUUAUUGGCCACAAUAAUCUCAUAAUGGUGUCCUGCUAUGUAGAACAUGAUUGCAAGAUAAUAUAUUUCCAAAUGAUACUUUAUUUGGUGCCUAUGUUAUUGUUGAAGUGAGUAAUCAUUUGUCACCUGAAAUUGCAAGGCAGGCAAAGUGUUAACUGAAACCCCAUGGCCUACUCGCCAUCGUCAACUUCCUCUUUGCGCUCGCCGUCAACGCUCCCAUGGGCGGAGCCACAAGGGGAUGGAUGUACAUAUGUACACCCGUUAAUCUAGGGAUGAGGGGACGAGGACAAGAAGGCCACGGGUAUCAUGGUGGAGAAGGAGGACAACAAUGACAUUGAGGAAGGGCAGACAUGCCGCUCCAUGGCAACUACGAUGACCAGUUCCUUACUCACAAUACUGGAGAUCUUCAUACAACCCCAUAUGCAACAACACAAUUUCCAUUACUUAGCAUGCAUCAUAAUGAAUCAAAUUAGUAUCUCUUUCCUUAUUUUUGGCUAGGAUGGAUUUCCGUUUCUUGUGUAUAUACAGAUUUACUACUACUGCUACAUUGUUACUCCAUUAUACUAAGAGAUUGGGACCUGGUCUGAUCCUUCCUAUAUGUAGUUGUAUUUGUCAUGACAGAUAGAGAUACCCUAUGGCAUUGCAUUGUCCUCCCUCCCUUCCUAAAUAUAAGUCUUUUUAGAGAUUUCCAACAUGGACUACAUACAGAGCAAAUUGAGUGAAUCAACACUCUAAACUACGUAUAUAUACAUCUGUAUGUAGUUCAUAUUAAAAUCUUUAGAAAGACAUGUAUUUAGGAACGGAGGGAGUAUUUGUUUGUAAGACAGAUUUGAACUAGCUUAGUUCUGAUUGUAAUUAUUAUGAGUGUUAUAUUCUUUUUUUCUCA